UGAGGAAUAUUGGUCAAUGGGCGAUGGCCUGAACCAGCCAAGUAGCGUGAAGGAUGACUGCCCUAUGGGUUGUAAACUUCUUUUAUAAAGGAAUAAAGUCGGGUAUGCAUACCCGUUUGCAUGUACUUUAUGAAUAAGGAUCGGCUAACUCCGUGCCAGCAGCCGCGGUAAUACGGAGGAUCCGAGCGUUAUCCGGAUUUAUUGGGUUUAAAGGGAGCGUAGAUGGAUGUUUAAGUCAGUUGUGAAAGUUUGCGGCUCAACCGUAAAAUUGCAGUUGAUACUGGAUGUCUUGAGUGCAGUUGAGGCAGGCGGAAUUCGUGGUGUAGCGGUGAAAUGCUUAGAUAUCACGAAGAACUCCGAUUGCGAAGGCAGCCUGCUAAGCUGCAACUGACAUUGAGGCUCGAAAGUGUGGGUAUCAAACAGGAUUAGAUACCCUGGUAGUCCACACGGUAAACGAUGAAUACUCGCUGUUUGCGAUAUACGGCAAGCGGCCAAGCGAAAGCGUUAAGUAUUCCACCUGGGGAGUACGCCGGCAACGGUGAAACUCAAAGGAAUUGACGGGGGCCCGCACAAGCGGAGGAACAUGUGGUUUAAUUCGAUGAUACGCGAGGAACCUUACCCGGGCUUAAAUUGCACUCGAAUGAUCCGGAAACGGUUCAGCUAGCAAUAGCGAGUGUGAAGGUGCUGCAUGGUUGUCGUCAGCUCGUGCCGUGAGGUGUCGGCUUAAGUGCCAUAACGAGCGCAACCCUUGUUGUCAGUUACUAACAGGUGAUGCUGAGGACUGUGACAAGACUGCCAUCGUAAGAUGUGAGGAAGGUGGGGAUGACGUCAAAUCAGCACGGCCCUUACGUCCGGGGCUACACACGUGUUACAAUGGGGGGUACAGAGGGCCGCUACCACGCGAGUGGAUGCCAAUCCCUAAAACCCCUCUCAGUUCGGACUGGAGUCUGCAACCCGACUCCACGAAGCUGGAUUCGCUAGUAAUCGCGCAUCAGCCACGGCGCGGUGAAUACGUUCCC
Molecule: ribosomal RNA, 1019 nt
Filed under: uncultured bacterium
Lineage: Bacteria
Description: bacterial SSU rRNA
Rfam family: Bacterial small subunit ribosomal RNA
Source: RNAcentral